UUCCGGUUGAUCCUGCCGGACCUGACUGCUAUCGGAUUGAUACUAAGCCAUGCGAGUCUUUGCAGUAAUGCAAGGCAUACGGCUCAGUAACACGUAGUCAACUUACCCUAUGGACGAGGAUAAUCUCGGGAAACUGAGCAUAAUACUCGAUAGAUCAUAAUGCCUGGAAUGGUUUAUGGUUAAAAUGAUUCGUCGCCAUAGGAUGGGACUGCGGCCUAUCAGCUUGUUGGUGAGGUAAUGGCCCACCAAGGCGAUUACAGGUACGGGCUCUGAGAGGAGAAGCCCGGAGAUGGGUACUGAGACAAGGACCCAGGCCCUAUGGGGCGCAGCAGGCGAGAAAACUUUGCAAUGUGCGAAAGCACGACAAGGUUAAUCCGAGUGAUUUCUGCUAAAGAAAUCUUUUGCAAGUCAUAAAACCACUAGUGAAUAAGGGGUGGGCAAGUUCUGGUGUCAGCCGCCGCGGUAAAACCAGCACCUCAAGUGGUCAGGAGGAUUAUUGGGCCUAAAGCAUCCGUAGCCGGCUCUGUAAGUUUUCGGUUAAAUCCAUGUGCUCAACGCAUGGGCUGCCGAAAAUACUGCAUAGCUAGGGAGUGGGAGAGGUAGACGGUACUCGGUAGGAAGGGGUAAAAUCCUUUGAUCUAUCGAUGACCACCUGUGGCGAAGGCGGUCUACCAGAACACGUUCGACGGUGAGGGAUGAAAGCUGGGGGAGCAAACCGGAUUAGAUACCCGGGUAGUCCCAGCUGUAAACGAUGCAGACUCGAUGAUGCAUUGGCAUAUAGCCAGUGCAGUGUCGCAGGAAGCCGUUAAGUCUGCCGCCUGGGAAGUACGUACGCAAGUAUGAAACUUAAAGGAAUUGGCGGGGGAGCACCACAAGGGGUGAAGCCUGCGGUUCAAUUGGAGUCAACGCCGGG
RNAcentral lists this ribosomal RNA (913 nucleotides) under uncultured marine archaeon. RNAcentral describes it as "bacterial SSU rRNA". It matches the Rfam family "Archaeal small subunit ribosomal RNA", at positions 1 to 922 of the family's 1478-position model. The record is from RNAcentral.